AGACAAUGCAUGUAUUAAUUGCUUGUGUCUUGAAAGACAUUAAUUACAAUCCAUGCAAUAUUUGAGUGACUUUUAAACAAAAAUAUAAUUUCACAAAACUUAAGUUCAUUUGAACUUGCUGCAUGAGAAAAAGGUGCUCACCAGUGCUUAUAACAUACUUAUGCAAAAGGGGUAAACAAAGAGGAGUAUCAGUCUUAUCCGUUCCAUCUUCUCUGGUGUAAGUGAAUGAGGCAAUGAGGUUAUUAGGGAGCAUCUUAGCGAGAAAAAAAAACGGAUGUGUGAUUUGCAGUUAUAUCGAAAACAACAUGGGCGUUCACUGCAAAUGGUGAUGUGGCUCCCCCUACAGGACAUGUCUACAACAACAAGACAGUAUGUUACUUACAUUAUCGAAUACAUUUCAUUCAGGGUGAUAGGCAUGAAUUUGGAGACUUAAAGAAUAAAGUUAUGCAUUAAAUGAAGU
This is a long non-coding RNA of Anguilla anguilla (European eel), 460 nucleotides long. RefSeq lists it as uncharacterized. The record is from RefSeq and is a predicted model, not a curated record. The transcript has 2 exons. NCBI's taxonomy places the organism in Eukaryota, Metazoa, Chordata, Actinopteri, Anguilliformes, Anguillidae.